This 1599-nucleotide long non-coding RNA is filed under the name Gallus gallus (chicken). Its description in RNAcentral is "lncRNA (ENSGALG00010002048.1)". Lineage: Eukaryota; Metazoa; Chordata; Aves; Galliformes; Phasianidae. The record is from RNAcentral.
UGUUUUUUUUUUUUAUUUUAAUGUCUUACUGCUCUCCUUGUCUUGGUUUCAGCCUGGUUAGGGUUAAUAGUGCACUGAUGUUUGAUUGUUGCUGAGCGAUGGAUGUGCUGGCUGCCGCCAUGAUGGUGUGGAGCAGUGGAGCCAUGCAAGGCCACGUGCAGCCCAUAGGCCAAGGGUUGGAUGCGUCUGCAUUAACCUAUCUGACAUACAAAGACUAGGGCUUUGGAAGUCAGGAAAACAGUGCCUUAUUUGGAUGAUGGCAGCAGCAGAUAUCUUUUAUUUUUUUUUCUGAUAUUAAAUUGCAAGCUUUUUGGAUGAAUAAAAAUUACCCUUUGUGACAGGGCGAGGGCCUGUGAGCUCAGUGAGCUUGUUUUCACAGUAAUGCAUCACCUGCACUUGCAAAAAGAUAAAUGGUGUAAAUUAUCUACUGUGUAACAUAAGCAGAUUUAUAACAAAAUGUGUUCUAUCUUUGGUGAACAUGCUGCAACUGAAACCACAAUGAUACAUCUUUAUGAUCAUGAAUAUGGAAUCAGCAGCUGAAAUGGGCCUUCAGUACUGUUAUGAAUGUUUAAAAGCAUUGGCGCCACAUAAAAUUACAUAUAUAUUGGGAUACUUAUCUUUCAUUCCAAUGCACAGCUUUGAAGUGCUGGGGAACAGAGGUCUGGGGUGGAAAGGCACCUAUUGUAGAUGACUGGGAGCAGACUGCUAUUGCCUAGAUGCAUAGUGUGGAGAAGGAGUGGACCUGAAAAGAAGUGACGAAGAGUACACUGGCAAUAAUUAUCAGCUUCAUGAAGUACAUUUUCUCACUAUAACAAAAGCAACAUAUUUGAGAUUGAAUAAUUGAAUUACCUCCCUGCAGCUGUCAUAGGCCAUUUGGCGCACAACUUUUGAAAGGAACAAUGACAGUAUAAUUAUGGCAGUUUUCUUUGAUUCCACUUGUCUCAUGGAGUGAGUUAGUGCAUUCUUCAUUUGGCCACAUGUGUGCAUGCCUUUUAGUAUCCAUGGGUGUUACUUCAAUGAGAUUUGUCUAUUUAAAUAUAUAAAACAUUUGUUUAUGUUUUGUGCUGAAAUUGUUUCAUUUGCUGUAAUGGUUUUAGCAGAAUGAUGGGAAAGCUUUCCCAUCUCCCUCCUCCUUAAAAAACAAAACAGAAACAAACAAAACAAACAAACAAAAAAACAACCUGUCCUUUAAUCUCCUCUGUGGUUUAGAGCUUUGGCCACACAGGUAUGAUAGGGGUUGUAGCUUGCAUAUACCUUAGGUCCCAGAAGCUGCAGUAUUUUGGUUUGCUACAGCUGGAGUUCACAGUUGUGGAUUCUUUUUUCCUGUACUGAUUUCCAAUGGACAGCAUUGGGGUUUACUGGCAAGACUUCUGUUCAUAUUAGUGGAGACUUCAAAACUCAACCUGAAUCCAUAAAAAAUUCUAUAGAAAUGGCUCUUCUCAUCACACUCUAUGUGAAAUAUAAAAAUAUUGCCUUCUAAAGAUAAGUUCUGUGAUCUAGAGACUAGCUCAUGGCAAAGAAAUAACACUGUUUUAUUUUCCUUUUCUGCUCCAUUCUUCUUUCAUAGAUAUUUGGUAGAAAUCAGGUCUUUGGGCGGGG